CCCACCCACCCUCGCUUGCAAAAUACAAGAUUAUUUAAUACUAGAAACUACAACAAUCACAAGCAAUAAAGUAAUUGUUCUUAACUGAAACUAAAACCUUUUCUUUUCUAAAAUCGGUUAAUAACAAACAAAAGUUUAUCACUGCCGAGGUCAUUUUUAUCGUAAAAAUUGUUCAUUCGUGAUUAAUUAUUUGUGGAGUGUGUCAUUAUUUAAGUUAAUAAGCAAUAAUUAAGUAAAUGUUAGUGAAUAUAAGUACCUUUUAAAAUCAUAGUUACGGUCGACGGACGUAGAAUAAAAGAGGAAUUUGGAAAAUAUGAAAAACCGUUCUGAAGUGAUACAAAUAUUCGUGAAAGUAUAAGGAUUCAACAUGAUAGUUCUUACCGUAAUAGUGGUGGUGAUAAAUGUAAUGGCGCAAUACAAUAACUACAAUAUUAACAUCCCGGAGGAAAGACAUAUGGACAUACGAGUACGAAGGGACAUUGGUGAUUUAAAAUUAAAAUUAGAUGAUCUGGAUGAUAAUACAGUUUAUGCAAAGAAUUUAUAUGACUACACUUAUAUUUUGUUGAAUAAUGAAUUAGGUGAAGGUGAUGUAGAUAUGAAAACUGUAUCUACUUCAAGACAUGAAAAUGAAUACAAAGACAAAGAUAUAUCCAAAAACAUUUUGAAUAGUGGGAAUGUUGUCAAUGGGAAAAAGUUUAAUGAAAUCUAUAAUGUAGAACUUAGUAAAACUGCACAUGUGAAACAUGCUAAUAUAGAUUUUGAAAACAGACGGAUCAAGAACAAAAAAGACAAAACUAGAGAUACAAACAUUGUUCACCAACUGAAUGGAAUAAGUAAACAGACAAGAGCGAAAAGACAAUUUUCUAAAUCUUAUUAUGAUAAUAUUUAUAGGUUUGAUAAUUACUAUAAUGGACAAAGCGUGACAUAUAGCCCAUACAAACAUAAUCCAGGCUAUAUGACAACAUUUAAAUAUUAUAAAUCAGAUGACAUUUAUGGAGGUGAACAAACAACAAACAAAAAUGAUUAUAGAACCAGUAAAGAUUACAACACUGACAGUAAUAAAUACUAUGAUAAUUCUCAACCAUAUAAAAAUAAUAAUUUUAGUCCAUAUAAUAAUGAUUUUGGACAAGAAAAUAAUGUAAAUUAUAAUAAUUAUAAUCAAAACACGCCUUCUGGUAUAGGAAAUGAAGUGGAAACUACAACUAUAAUACUAGAAAGCUGUUUUCUGUGUAGAUCUCUCGGGUGUCCGAAAUACUACAAGCGAGUUUGGUCUGGCUGCGUCCCUGUUGAUGAUUACGAUUGAUGUUUAAGUGUUUCUCUGAUUUAAUUAAUGAAAAGCGAAUACUUCUACUUUAAUAUAUUAAUUAAUUUACGAAAAAAUAAAUUUGUUUUAAUUUC
This is a long non-coding RNA of Plodia interpunctella (Indianmeal moth), 1398 nucleotides long. RefSeq lists it as uncharacterized. Lineage: Eukaryota; Metazoa; Arthropoda; Insecta; Lepidoptera; Pyralidae. The record is from RefSeq and is a predicted model, not a curated record. The transcript is spliced from 2 exons.